Phycodurus eques (leafy seadragon) is the source of this 1085-nucleotide long non-coding RNA. RefSeq lists it as uncharacterized. The record is from RefSeq and is a predicted model, not a curated record. NCBI's taxonomy places the organism in Eukaryota, Metazoa, Chordata, Actinopteri, Syngnathiformes, Syngnathidae. The transcript has 4 exons.
AUAUAUAUGUAUGUAUGUGUGUGGUAUUCAUAGAAAUAAGAGAACAAUAUAGCACGGGAGAGCACCGUUUUACUCAUCUUUUGACAAGUGCAGCCACUUUGUGAUUUUAGUGAUGUUAGUUUCGAAAUGUGGUGCAGUGUGAUUUUCAUAAACAUUGAAAUGACCAACGACAACAACAGUCAUUGGUGGUUGUUAGUACCAUAUUGUGUCCUAUAUGCUCCACAAGCAGAAACGCAUCCUCAGGUGCCGUAGCGGACAUGCUCUUGCUAUCGGCUCUCCAGCUACCGGGCGACCUUCGGCCAACCAUCCCCCCUCCUUUUGGUCGGGCACGCAGUUCGGCCAACGCGAAUGCUGGGAUGAGAACAGACCCGGCUUCCCAGCCUUUACGUGGGCCACCGCCAGGCGAUUAGAGCAGCUGCUACUAAAACUAGCAGCUACCUCCUCGCCUCCUGAGACAUGCGCAGAAAGACUACUCCCAAAGACCAGCUGAUCUACGUUGGCUUGACGUGCCUGGGAAGGAUGUUGUGGGAAAAUCCUGUCAGAAUAAAAAAAGAUUGCCUCGUCAGACUUUUUGGUGGUUGUCCAGGGGGUGAAGCAGGCGAUCCAGUUCCUGCACAAGGAUUCUGCAGAACUGCUCCCUUUAGACAGACUCAAAAACCUUGGCACGUCCAAACAAGGGAAAACGAAAUACCAUCAACUUGGCAUCAACACACAGAGGCCAAAAGCAAUACAAUUCCUGCCUCAAGUAGCACCGGAAGAUAGGGCUGCACAAUUGUGGCCAAAAUGAUAAUCACAAUUUUUUAGCAAUAUUGUAAUCACAAUCAUUAAAUCACAAUUAUUUAUUUUGUUCGAGAAAACCCAUUUUUGUUGAACUACUUUUCAAACAAUGAGAAUGAUUUUCAACCCAACAUGAUACUUUGAAACAAAAUGAUUAUAACUUUUGAAUGAUGGUGACUAUAUGAUACUGGCAGAGAAAAUGCUUGAUAAGAUAUGCAGCAGAGCCUGCGUUAGAAUUGUAAAUAUCACCGACGAUCCAGUUAAUUUAAUCCUGGCAUGAUCACGAUUAAAAUUCAAUUAAUUGUGCA